RNAcentral lists this ribosomal RNA (245 nucleotides) under Aeromonas caviae. RNAcentral describes it as "partial 23S ribosomal RNA". It matches the Rfam family "Bacterial large subunit ribosomal RNA", at positions 2123 to 2366 of the family's 2925-position model. Lineage: Bacteria; Pseudomonadati; Pseudomonadota; Gammaproteobacteria; Aeromonadales; Aeromonadaceae. The record is from RNAcentral.
AUUGAACCUACAUGUGUAGGAUAGGUGGGAGGCUUUGAAGGCGUGACGCCAGUUGCGCUGGAGCCGUCCUUGAAAUACCACCCUUGUAUGUUUGAUGUUCUAACGCAGGGCCCUGAAUCGGGCUCGCGGACAGUGCCUGGUGGGUAGUUUGACUGGGGCGGUCUCCUCCCAAAGAGUAACGGAGGAGCACGAAGGUUGGCUAAUCCUGGUCGGACAUCAGGAGGUUAGUGCAAUGGCAUAAGCCA